Molecule: ribosomal RNA, 232 nt
Filed under: uncultured bacterium
Lineage: Bacteria
Description: partial 16S ribosomal RNA
Rfam family: Bacterial small subunit ribosomal RNA
Source: RNAcentral
UGGGAACCGGCGUAAGGGGCAGUAAGGUGUGGGUACCUACCGCGGGGUCCGGGAUAGCCCGCCGAGAGGCGGGGUAAUACCGGAUGACCUCGGGAGAGCAAAGCUCCGGCGCCCCGUGAGGGGCCCACGUGAUAUUAGCUGGUUGGCGGGGUGACGGCCCACCAAGGCGGAGAUGUCUAGCGGGUGUGAGAGCACGACCCGCGCCACUCGCACUGAGACACUGGCGAGACAC